Molecule: long non-coding RNA, 2913 nt
Filed under: Triticum aestivum (bread wheat)
Lineage: Eukaryota; Viridiplantae; Streptophyta; Magnoliopsida; Poales; Poaceae
Description: long non-coding RNA (TAES_LNC017123)
Source: RNAcentral
GCAGUGUCGUUGGUCUGUCUCCCAAAUUCCGGCGGCGCCCACACCCCCACCAGCGGCCACCUCUAGCCUGAGGCCCGAAAGGAACGCCCGGAGAGAUGCAUCCAUGGAGCUAAGCAUCGCCAGCCUCAUGAGCCCGCCCAGCCUGCGGGAGCGGGAGCCCCUAUGCCUGAAAGCAACGGAAGUGCUUUUUGAUCGUGCGUGCCUCUCGGACGGCCGGCCUGCGUGACGUGGCGGCAGCAAGGGCGGGUCUUCCUUGUGCGCGUGCGUGUGGUGGUGCAUGUGAGCGUUGGACUGCGGAGGCUGCGGCAACCUCGAGCACGACUACACGGCGCAAGAUUUAGUGGAGCAGGAGCUGGCCGUGGUCGGGCAGGUUCGGGGCGCAGGUGCAGUCACGCAGGUGCUCGGAAACCACGCGCGUGAUAGAAGGUACUGUUCUACACGUACGCACAUGAGCGCUCGCUGCCUCUUCAGGGUCAAGCAAUCGCAGCUGAGUCCGCGGCUUGGCGCCUUGCAAUAGUAGUAUGUAAUGUUUAUUUCUUUGCCACUAAUACUAGGAAUCAGAAAUAGCUUAAUUGCAUUAUUAGCACAGUUGAGAGAAAAAGACAUGGGUACAGAGUACACUAUAUAUCAUCAUCUUUUAUUGUGUUUUUUUCAGCAGGACCUGUCGCCACUCGCAUAAUCUUGCAGUUGCAGGGCCGAGCUGCUCCCUGUCUUUGCUUUUCCUCCAGGACUUCAGGUAAUUUUUGAUAUAUAUAUUACCUGUUCUUUUUAUCUAUCGGCCCAUGGAUCCAUUGCUCCCUGUCUUUGCUAUCGGCCAAUGGAUUUUUGAUAUAUAUUUAUUCUCUCCCUGUUCUUUUUAUCUAUCGGCCCAUGGAUCUGUUUUGAGUUGCACAUUCCUUUGGCGCAGCAAUGCAUAUAUGAUUCAUGAUUCAAUAUGCCUAUCUUACAUUUGAUUCAAAUCAAAAUCAGACAUACAUCUGCACAAUAAUUAUUUUAAACACCAUUAGUUUGUUGUAACAGAUAUUGUGGAAGUGAUUUCAGAUGAUAAUUAUCUGAUUGAUCCAGUCACCAGGAUGUUCUCCAGAAAAAUUAAUGAGACCGCGAAGUACAGUAGGUACCAUAGACUCAUUAUUGCAUCUCCCUUUUUGUUCCUUGUACAAAAACCGAACCUUGAUCUAUAACUAGAGAGGAUGUUUGGCUUAUUACAAUGUAGUUCAGAUCUAGGUUUAAUAUUUCAUUUAUCUUGAUUUUGCUGUUCUCCUUGCCCUCGCACCUCCAGCCUCUUACAGUCUCUACCCUGGUCCAACGCAUUUCCAGUUCAGUUCGCCACUUUGAUUCUUACUUUCCAUGAUGUGGUCUGGAUGUGAUACUUGGACAAGAACUUGGAUAGUGCCUUAAUUUAAAUACACACGAUUUAGUGAAGUUCCAUGAUCUUACUUCUCAUCUGAAUUUUAAUUGGUGGUGUAUAGAUCCAAACCAACUCUAGCUUACUCAGCUGGUAUUGAGGUUUGAUGAUCCUUCAGAUAUCAUGUACGAGUACACACACAAAAAAUGAUGCAUUUUGUAGAAUUUACUGAUGGUCAAUAUUAUACAGGAUCUAUGACUUGCUUGCUCCUCUUUACAUUUUAUACUUGCUCUUAUUUUGAUUCCGGCCUUCUUACGUAGAGCAUAACCUGGUUUACAAUGUUCAAUUGUAACUAGCUGAACUUCGGAUUAGUUGAAUUGACGCUGGGGAAGCUAUAUGUAUCUGUUUCAUGGGAUUAACCAUGAAAUGUAUUGUACCCAUCUCGGGUUUCUUGUUUAGAUUCAGUAAUCAGAUUCAGUUUAAAGAUUCAUUGUCUCCAGAAAAUUUUAUUCAGUGAUCAACCGUUCUCCUCCAACUGAAAUUUCAUGUUUAUGUUUUUUAUUCUAGUCCUGUGUCCAUCUCCAGUUUACUCAAGAAACCAAGUAGGUGAUCAUGGAGGUUGACACAAGUACAUCCAAGUCAGCGUAAAGCUGAGAUGGGAAACCAAAUCGAGCAACUUCAGAAGCGUAAUGCACUAUCCAAGGUAGACCACGAUAGCAGGUAGUCUUGUCAUCUUGCAUCUUUCUUUUUCGAGGAAUUUUGCAUCUUCAUAUAUCUCAUGCAUUGCUUAUAGCUGUGGUACAGAACAUGUAACAGAAGACUAUUCUUUUUCUUAUUGCAUCUGUAACCUCUGUUUAUUAUACUGUAGAGAAGAGAACCACAUAAUCUUGAUACUAAUAGUUUCAUUUCCAUGAUGGUACAAAUAAACUGUCUGUAGUUUUCAGAUAUCUUGUCGAUGCUAGCCAGGAAGAGCACCAAAGGAAUGAGCCUAUGGUAUACACCGGAAGCAAGCCACCAAGGGCCUCUUGAGAAGAGGUAGCUUCAGCACUGUACCACAAGAUUACAGAGACCAACCCAGCUGGAGGAUCGAUGUCUCAGUUCUACCUAUGUAGAAUAUAAAAGCAAUGGUACCAUUGUAAACUUGUAGUCUCGCCUACCAUCAUGUAUCUUAAGGAUGUAGCACUAACGCUGAAACCAUGUAUAACUAUAUCCAUAAAUAUCUAUGUUUUCAUGCAAAACGAAAACAUGUUCAAUAACCUGCAUACAAGUUUAAGCCAAAUACAGCACAUGAAUGUACCAGCGAGUCACGAAUAUAAAAACUGUAUCUAGAAACAACUAUUGCCCAACUAUUAUCUUACUCACUACAAAGACUAGUAGAGUGCCCGUGCGUUGUCACGGGCUCUUGAAAUAGUUUGCAAAAGUUACAUAUUAAAUUUCAAAUGGACAAACAAUAUAACACAAACACAAUUAUUGAAUAAUUGAAGUCCAUUUUUGCAAUGUAAAUUGACAAAAAUAAAAGAUUAACGACAUGUCCAUAUAACAAACUGAGUGAUGGGCGAGGGCAGCGG